GCACAAAGGAAGAAAUUUUCACCAUUAUCCCUACACAGUGAGUUCUUAUUUUUCUCUCUCUGCAGGAUCCUUUCCUCUAGGGUGGGAGAUGAAUCCUUCACAAAAAAGCAAUAAAGAUUUUAUGCAAGAAAAUAAAAGAAAAUUUGGAAUGCAAGAUUAUAUACAAAAGGAGGUAAACUGAGAAGAAGAUGGGGAUUAAAUCCCCUAAAAUGGACUCACUAGAGGGCUCUCAAGUCUGUAUCCCUUGGAGAAGUCACAAACUGAGACAGAUGUGCUGCUGCCUGGAAUUGUUGUGUUAUCAGUGAUAUCUUUUCUCAUUGCGCUGCUACAAAAGGAGAGUGAACACAUCUCAAAACCAAGGGGACUUCCCUGUUGGUACAGUGGAUAAUAAUUCACCUGCCAGUGCAGGGGACAUGGGUUCAAUCCCUGGUCUGGGAAACUUCCACCUGCCACAGAGCAACUAAAGCCCAUGAACCUCAAUUACUGAGCCCGCAUACUGCAAGUACUAAAGCCUGUGCACCUAGAGCCUGUGUGCCACGGCAAGAGAAACCACCACAGUGAGAAACCCAUCCACUGCUACAAAGAUCAGCUCCUGCUCACUGCACCAGAGAAAGCUUGUGUGCAGCAAUGAAGACCCAGCAUAACCAAAAAAAAAAAAGAAAAAAAGGAUAGGCUGCAUUUCUGAAUGAAUUUGUGCUGAACACAUGGAAUGGAAGCAAAAGUAAGAGCCAAGUUUUAUGAGAAGAAAAGAGAGUUUUGUUUCAUUUGUUUGGUUAGAGAUUUUGUUUUCUGAAAUUCAAAAAACUUGACUUUUCUAAGCAAGAGGAAAACUAAAAGCUAGAUUUUUGAGUUUUAAAAAUAAACAAU
Molecule: long non-coding RNA, 867 nt
Filed under: Bos indicus x Bos taurus (hybrid cattle)
Lineage: Eukaryota; Metazoa; Chordata; Mammalia; Artiodactyla; Bovidae
Description: lncRNA (ENSBIXG00000015679.1)
Source: RNAcentral